GAUGAACGCUGGCGGCGCGCCUAACACAUGCAAGUCGAACGGCACCUAUCUUCGGAUAGAAGCGAGUGGCGAACGGCUGAGUAACACGUGGAGAACCUGCCCCCUCCCCCGGGAUAGCCGCCCGAAAGGACGGGUAAUACCGGAUACCCCGGGGUGCCGCAUGGCACCCCGGCUAAAGCCCCGACGGGAGGGGAUGGCUCCGCGGCCCAUCAGGUAGACGGCGGGGUGACGGCCCACCGUGCCGACAACGGGUAGCCGGGUUGAGAGACCGACCGGCCAGAUUGGGACUGAGACACGGCCCAGACUCCUACGGGAGGCAGCAGUGGGGAAUCUUGCGCAAUGGGGGGAACCCUGACGCAGCGACGCCGCGUGCGGGACGGAGGCCUUCGGGUCGUAAACCGCUUUCAGCAGGGAAGAGUCAAGACUGUACCUGCAGAAGAAGCCC
Molecule: ribosomal RNA, 445 nt
Filed under: uncultured bacterium
Lineage: Bacteria
Description: bacterial SSU rRNA
Rfam family: Bacterial small subunit ribosomal RNA
Source: RNAcentral